Molecule: ribosomal RNA, 219 nt
Filed under: uncultured bacterium
Lineage: Bacteria
Description: partial 16S ribosomal RNA
Rfam family: Bacterial small subunit ribosomal RNA
Source: RNAcentral
GCAAGUCUAGCUUCUCCUUGCGAGAAGCGGCGGACGGCUGAGUAACACGUUGGAACCUACCCCGAAUUCAGGGAUAACCUGCCGAAAGGCAGACUAAUACCGGAUGUCCCAGCAAUGGGAAAGCUACGGCGAUUCGGGAGGGGCCUGCGGCCUAUCAGUUUGUUGGUGAGGUAAUGGCUCACCAAGACUAUGACGGGUACCUGGCGUGAGAGCGCGAAC